Molecule: ribosomal RNA, 919 nt
Filed under: Lophiostoma submuriforme
Lineage: Eukaryota; Fungi; Ascomycota; Dothideomycetes; Pleosporales; Lophiostomataceae
Description: partial large subunit ribosomal RNA
Rfam family: Eukaryotic large subunit ribosomal RNA
Source: RNAcentral
AUUGACCUCGGAUCAGGUAGGGAUACCCGCUGAACUUAAGCAUAUCAAUAAGCGGAGGAAAAGAAACCAACAGGGAUUGCCCUAGUAACGGCGAGUGAAGCGGCAACAGCUCAAAUUUGAAAUCUGGCUCCUUUGGGGUCCGAGUUGUAAUUUGUAGAGGGUGCUUUGGCGUUGGUUGUGGUCUAAGUUCCUUGGAACAGGACGUCGCAGAGGGUGAGAAUCCCGUACGUGGCCGCCAGCCUUCGCCGUGUAAAGCCCCUUCGAUGAGUCGAGUUGUUUGGGAAUGCAGCUCUAAAUGGGAGGUAAAUUUCUUCUAAAGCUAAAUAUUUGCCAGAGACCGAUAGCGCACAAGUAGAGUGAUCGAAAGAUGAAAAGCACUUUGGAAAGAGAGUCAAAAAGCACGUGAAAUUGUUGAAAGGGAAGCGCUUGCAGCUAGACGUGCCUUGGGUUGAUCAGCCGGACUUUUGCCCGGUGCACUCUUCCUUUGGCAGGCCAGCAUCAGUUUGGGCGGCUGGAUAAAGGUCUGUUAAACGUGACUUCCUUCGGGGAGAGCUUAUAGGGCAGACGACAUGCAGCCAGCCUGAACUGAGGUCCGCGCAUCUGCUAGGAUGCUGGCAUAAUAGCUGUAAGCGGCCCGUCUUGAAACACGGACCAAGGAGUCUAACAUCUAUGCGAGUGUUUGGGUGUCAAGCCCGAGCGCGUAAUGAAAGUAAACGGAGGUGGGAACCUUUUAGGUGCACCAUCGACCGAUCUUGAUGUCUUCGGAUGGAUUUGAGUAAGAGCAUAGCUGUUGGGACCCGAAAGAUGGUGAACUAUGCCUGAAUAGGGUGAAGCCAGAGGAAACUCUGGUGGAGGCUCGCAGCGGUUCUGACGUGCAAAUCGAUCGUCAAAUUUGGGCAUAGGGGCGAAAGACUAAUCG